This 69-nucleotide transfer RNA is filed under the name Chrotogale owstoni (Owston's palm civet). RNAcentral describes it as "tRNA-Tyr". It matches the Rfam family "tRNA". Rfam says of the family: Transfer RNA (tRNA) molecules are approximately 80 nucleotides in length. Their secondary structure includes four short double-helical elements and three loops (D, anti-codon, and T loops). Further hydrogen bonds mediate the characteristic L-shaped molecular structure. tRNAs have two regions of fundamental functional importance: the anti-codon, which is responsible for specific mRNA codon recognition, and the 3' end, to which the tRNAs corresponding amino acid is attached (by aminoacyl-tRNA synthetases). tRNAs cope with the degeneracy of the genetic code in two manners: having more than one tRNA (with a specific anti-codon) for a particular amino acid; and 'wobble' base-pairing, i.e. permitting non-standard base-pairing at the 3rd anti-codon position. The record is from RNAcentral. Lineage: Eukaryota; Metazoa; Chordata; Mammalia; Carnivora; Viverridae.
GGUAAAAUGGCUGAGUUAAAGCAUUAGACUGUAAAUCUAAGUACAGAGGUUGGACCCCUCUUUUUACCA